This 379-nucleotide ribosomal RNA is filed under the name uncultured bacterium. RNAcentral describes it as "partial 16S ribosomal RNA". It matches the Rfam family "Bacterial small subunit ribosomal RNA", at positions 338 to 709 of the family's 1533-position model. The record is from RNAcentral.
CCUACGGGAGGCAGCAGUAGGGAAUAUUGCACAAUGGGCGAAAGCCUGAUGCAGCCACGCCGCGUGGGUGAAGAAGGUCUUCGGAUCGUAAAGCCCUUUUGUUAGAGAGGAAAGUGCGUGAGAGUAACUGUUCACGUUUCGACGGUAUCUAACCAAAAAGCCAUGGCUAACUCCGUGCCAGCAGCCGCGGUAAUACGUAGGUGGCAAGCGUUAUUCGGAAUUAUUGGGCGUAAAGGGUACGCAGGCGGUCUUUUAAGUCUGAUGUGAAAGCCUUGGGCUUAACCGGAGUAGUGCAUUGGAAACUGGGAGACUUGAGUGCAGAAGAGGAGAGUGGAACUCCAUGUGUAGCGGUGAAAUGCGUAGAGAUAUGGAAGAAUAC